AGCUCUACAUUCAAAAUUCAGCCUUCUUAGAUGUUGGACAGCUCCGAAAUGCUUUCAAGCAGUAGAUCUGGCUGUUUCAAACUGGUAUCAGGUCUACAUCUAAUGUUUCAAGAGAACAGAAGCCAAGAAGCCUAUAAUGCAUUAUCUCAGCAAAAGAAGUGAAACAUGGACUAUCUGUGAUUUCGCAGCUCUACAUCUUAUUUUGGGCUUGAUUAGAUGUGGGACAUCUCAAAAAUCCU
Molecule: long non-coding RNA, 239 nt
Organism: Poecilia latipinna (sailfin molly)
Lineage: Eukaryota; Metazoa; Chordata; Actinopteri; Cyprinodontiformes; Poeciliidae
Exons: 2
Source: RefSeq, a predicted model, not a curated record